CCCUGAUGGUGCAACCUGGUGGGUUCAUGGAGCGUCUGUACGCUCUCCUGUACUCCUUCCUGCCCACUGUUGCCAGCAUUGAGCCAAAGGCUGAGAGAUACCUGUUGCUGCUCAAUGGCGGGCUGAUGGCUCUGCUAGAUGACAUGUUUGGGCAGCAGCUGGCCUGGUAUUUUAACCGAGAGUCUCUGGUCACUGAGCUCUCCAGUCUCCUGGAGUACCACCUCGAGUACCUCAUGGCCAGCAUGUAGUCCUACUGCAGAGACCUGAAGGGCCACACUUCUC
Molecule: long non-coding RNA, 282 nt
Organism: Coregonus clupeaformis (lake whitefish)
Lineage: Eukaryota; Metazoa; Chordata; Actinopteri; Salmoniformes; Salmonidae
Exons: 3
Source: RefSeq, a predicted model, not a curated record